This 21-nucleotide non-coding RNA is filed under the name Caenorhabditis elegans. The record is from RNAcentral. Lineage: Eukaryota; Metazoa; Nematoda; Chromadorea; Rhabditida; Rhabditidae.
UAUUUUGAUUGAAAAAUUUCA